RNAcentral lists this Y RNA (102 nucleotides) under Tupaia belangeri chinensis (Chinese tree shrew). RNAcentral's name for it is "Tupaia chinensis (Chinese tree shrew) Y RNA". It matches the Rfam family "Y RNA". Rfam says of the family: Y RNAs are components of the Ro ribonucleoprotein particle (Ro RNP), in association with Ro60 and La proteins. The Y RNAs and Ro60 and La proteins are well conserved, but the function of the Ro RNP is not known. Lineage: Eukaryota; Metazoa; Chordata; Mammalia; Scandentia; Tupaiidae. The record is from Rfam by way of RNAcentral.
GGCUGGGCCGAGUGCAGUGGCGUUUACAACUAACCCAUCACGGCCAGUUGCAGACUCCCUUGUUCCUUCUCUACUCCCACUGCUUCGCUUGACUAGCCUUAA